Long non-coding RNA from Oryzias melastigma (Indian medaka), 3484 nucleotides. RefSeq lists it as uncharacterized. The record is from RefSeq and is a predicted model, not a curated record. NCBI's taxonomy places the organism in Eukaryota, Metazoa, Chordata, Actinopteri, Beloniformes, Adrianichthyidae. The transcript is spliced from 3 exons.
UCACUCUCAUAACUGAGCUCCUGGAAUGGAUAAAAAGUCAGAUUGCUUGUUGACUUGCCCACUAACCUCAGUCGCUCUGUCUGAAGUGUCAGAUUCUAGUUCAGGAAUACCUGCUUCCCAUCUGACUCAGUAAUUCUCCAACAUGUCAGUUGUAUCACAAGUGGGAAAACUGUCUUCUCCGUUGCCUUUUGGCUACUCCCUUCAGGAGGAGUCACGUUGGAUCAUGAUUGAACAUAACCCUCUUCAUUUACCCGGGCUUAGAACCGGCAAACAAAAACGCUGUUCCUCCUUGUGGUUGCAUCAAAGCUAAUGAAUCUAGAGCUUGAACUGCAGUGAAAAAGUGUUUGGAACUCAGGAUUUGGAACAUGUUUGAUGUGAAAAGCAGCGAGGCUGCUUGGACACAUAUUGAGCUGGGAAAUCCGAUAGUGUUGAUUUGUGUUUUUUCAUGAUCACUGCAGACUCCGGCCACUCUGGAGGCUGGCCAGAUGACACCUGAGGAACCUGAGAACACCUGAGGACAACUCUGGACUUGGACAGCUUCAGUCACUAGCUUUGACUCUAACUCUGGAAAGGUUCAGAUCAGAAACGUGUCAGUGCUUCAGAAAUGCUCACAUCUGCAGAUGACACGAUGCUCUUCAGUAUGCAGGAUCAUCAGGAUCAUCUUCACUUCUAAGCUAAAAAAUGAUUUUGUUUUUUUGCAACAACAUUGAUCUCUGCUGACCUGUUGGCAGCCUGGGUGAGUCACAUGACUGGGUCACUCAGCGGGAUGGGGGUCUGGCAGCAGGAAGCGGUUCAGGCUGAUCUGGGUCACCGAAAGAGCAAAUGUGGUGGGAAUGUGUCUCAUAGACAAAACGUGUUGGGGUGUGUGUGUUUGUGUGAGCCAUCUGUCCUGACAAGAUUACUGGACUCAGACAAGAAGUCUGACUGGACGAGAUUAGAGAAUGAAUAUAGGGCAGGAGAAAAGGCAGAGACCAGGAAGGUGAGACAGACGAAGGAUGACGGAGAGCAGAGACAAAGAUCUUGAAUCGAAACGAAAAAUGAAAAUAAGUUCUUCUUUUACCAUAAUUCAAAUGCACUCAGUCCAAAAGAAAACAUAUUUAUUACACAGUCAGUGAGUGUGAGUGGAAAACACAAGUUAAGCACUGGAACAGAGCAAGCUCACUGCGUUGUCAUGGUAACAGGAUCCUACUUUCGCUUUCCCAGCUCAGGUCCACAUCUCUCUCAGAGGCUCUCGGUUUGACACGUAGUGUUGAAAACAUCAACAGGCUGUUGGAUGAGUCUCUUUUCAUGCUCGUGCACACACAUCCGCCCACACGCCCAACAUUCCCGCUGUGAACUCCCAAGUUUCACAUCCUUAUCUUUGCGGAUGGAUGUUUGGCUGGAAAAGAGUCCCCAAGCUGUUGCCUUGGCAACUCUGAAGAAUUUCUCUGUGGCUAUGACAACCGGUGAUGCACAUCCGGUAUGGUCGGCGUAUUUUUAUUUAGAUGCCUAGCAGGAGGCUGUUGCAUGUGUUGGUAUUUGUUUGAGCUUUUGUUUCUGUGAUUGUUUUAAUUUUCUCUGACAGAGUAAAAGUUUUCAUUUAUGCUCAUAAAAUAUGGAGUGGAGUUUUUUCUACUGUUUUAAAGAUUGAUGCAUUGAAUCUUUAAAUAACUUUGCUAACUACUAUUCUGCAUCUCGUGAUGGUUAAAUAUGUUAUGGGCAUAAAUUGAAGACUAAAAAUGUUGCUUUUGUAAUUUUCAAUCAAAUUCUCUGAUGUGUGGUCGGUGCAAUCAUCUGUUGCUAAGGUAAACUUUAUGGCCCCCUAGCAACAAUGUUCAGCUGGUAGUGCUGGGCGAUAUGGAAAAUAAUUUAUAAAGAUUUUCUCUUAGGUGGCUAUGCUAGCCAGUCGCCUGGUGGACAGCGUAGUGAGUUCUGCUGCCCAGGGUCUGGCAAAGCAAGCAAGUGCUGCCGCCCAGGAGUCAGCAGAGCUAGCAGGGUCGCUAUCCAGGCCUCCAGUCCCUAGGCAGCGAAGCCAAUGUGGGCAAACACAGCUGGGGCCACCACGGAAACUGUGGACAAACCCAAAUGGGGCCCACAUUCUCUGCCCACUUUUGAACCAUGUUGCGCCCACUUGGCCUUGCUGGCUGGGCAGCUGGUAUUCACGUUCUUUAUGUAGGUCCUUCAAUAGUUAAAACUUGGAUAUGCAAAGGAAAAUAUUUGAAAAAAUUCAUGCACAGUUGUGUAGUGCUGAGGUUUUCUUUUGAGAGCCACAUAGGCUAACAGAAAAAGUGUAACAAUCACAGGGUGUGUCUAAACGUAACAAUGAUGUUUUUCCAGAAAGAGACACACACAAUCACAUUUUAAUAAUCCCUUUCUGUAAUCUUCACAGAAAAAAAUAAAUCUAAAAUGUUCCAAAAAUUAAAGCAAUAAAUAGAGAAUCCUCACCUGUCAUGGUUCUGUUGAGACAUUGGAGGGCUGCAGCUCCUCUCAUAGGGUUCUUAUUAGUUAUCUAUAUCUUUUGGCUCUUUAGGUUGUUUUAUUUUGUCUCUUCUGUGACCUGACACAGUCUUAGUGACUACAUAAGUAGAUUUCCUCCAGAUGGUUCAUGAUAUGGUUUAAAGUGACUCCCCACCACAUGAAGAUCCACAGUUGGAGUUUUUCUGGUUGAACGAUGGAAAGUGACAUUUAGAAGGUUUUGCAGAACCACCUGGUUGGGCGUGCACAUCCACAGUUCUUGUCAUUCUGGCAAAAAAGCUGCAGAGAACUUCAGUGAAGCCGUCCUGAAGCUGGCCGCCCCGCUGUGGGUGACGCUGAGACUCCCUGACAGCCAUAUAAAUAAUCAAUAAGACCACACUCCUGCUGCUGUGUGCAUUUUCACCAGAAGCUCCUUUGGACGACCUCAUAUGUGUGGAGUUCAAGCGUGCAGACGUCACACCAAACGGUUUGCUGUCAGGCCCUCGAGUUGUAAAUCAUGGACGAAGAGAGAAAAAUAUGUCAUGCAAUAAAACAAUAAAAUACAUCAGAAUGAAGCUGUGGAGUCAGAAAAUGAAGAUUCAUAUUUUGUAUUUGCAAAAAGGCUCUUGUUUGUCACUAAUGAUCAGGGGUGUGCCAAAAUAUUGAUAUUCCGAGAUAUCGCGAUAUUUAGUCCUGGUUCUCAGCAAGUAUCGAUGUUUUGUCUUCAUUUGAAGAUGCUGUAAAACAUUGUAUUCGUCGUCUUUCGACUGCCUGUCGUGAGGACCGAUGUGCCUGCCAGCUAGUUGAAUAUUUAAUUUUUGUUCUUUUGUUUACGACAAGUUUGCACUAAAUAGUAGCACUGCUGUUCGUGUUUACUAUUGUUAAUAUAGAAUUUAAAAGAUAAUUCCAAUUCAAUUGGUGUCAAUUCUUGUCAAAAUAUCACUGAUUUGCACAAUAGUGCAUGUUAUUUGUUGCACAAAAUAAGACACACAUUAUUUAUUGUGUGAAUGUUUAGUAAACAUUCACACUAUUGGGAUUCUCCUGCUCCUUU